RNAcentral lists this ribosomal RNA (468 nucleotides) under uncultured bacterium. Its description in RNAcentral is "partial 16S ribosomal RNA". It matches the Rfam family "Bacterial small subunit ribosomal RNA", at positions 28 to 507 of the family's 1533-position model. The record is from RNAcentral.
GACGAACGCUGGCGGCGUGCUUAACACAUGCAAGUCGAACGGAAAGGCCCUGCUUUUGUGGGGUGCUCGAGUGGCGAACGGGUGAGUAACACGUGAGUAACCUGCCCUUUACUUUGGGAUAACUUCAGGAAACUGGGGCUAAUACCGGAUAGGAUCUCCUGCUGCAUGGUGGGGGUUGGAAAGUUUCGGCGGUUGGGGAUGGACUCGCGGCUUAUCAGCUUGUUGGUGGGGUAGUGGCUUACCAAGGCUUUGACGGGUAGCCGGCCUGAGAGGGUGACCGGCGACAUUGGGACUGAGAUACGGCCCAGACUCCUACGGGAGGCAGCAGUGGGGAAUAUUGCACAAUGGGCGGAAGCCUGAUGAAGCAACGCCGCGUGCGGGAUGACGGCCUUCGGGUUGUAAACCGCUUUCGCAUGUGACGAAGAGUGAGUGACGGUAAUGGGUAAAGAAGCACCGGCUAACUACGUG